RNAcentral lists this long non-coding RNA (7439 nucleotides) under Zea mays. RNAcentral's name for it is "long non-coding RNA (ZMAY_LNC000792)". The record is from RNAcentral. Lineage: Eukaryota; Viridiplantae; Streptophyta; Magnoliopsida; Poales; Poaceae.
CGGAAAUAAAUUCUUUAUUGCAAAAUGAUUACAUGUUACAAUAAGUUUACAUUAUACAAUUAUCGGAGUGAUUACAAAAGAAAGUGAUUCAAAAGAAUUACAAUUUAAAAUGUAUAAAAUAUUUAUAGGUUUUAAAAUACAUGCUAGCUUAAGUGACAAUCCUCAAUAAAGAAGCUAAAGAUGGGAUAUACUUAUAUAAGAAGGCCGAACCCACCGGCACUUAGCACCAUCCACAACAGAACAAAAUUACAACCUGAAAAACAACAGGGAAUAAAACCCUGAGUACGCAAUUACUCAGCAAGACUUACCCGACUAAAGAAAAGACUCUCAAGGAUAUGUUGGUUUAUCAGGAAUCAAGGUAAAGCUUAUCAAAUUUCAAAGACUCAUUUUCGCAGAAAAGCUUACUAGUAGUGGAUCCUUAUGCAAAAAUUUUACUUCACAAAUUAAGUACUUUUCCUGAAUCUAGAUUUGCCUAAUCUAGAGCAUUCACUUGUCCUACACUAGCUUCAUUUUAGCAGCUUUAGUUUCACUUGUUAUCUACGAUGAGGGUCGAAGAUCCAGUCUUCAUAUCCGAGAAGUUCGGCGAUCCGAAUCGAUUAAUACCCAGCUGGGGAUCUCCAACCACACGACAUAUGUAGCACUUAACCCUUGCAUAUGUCAACUCGCCACCGGGUUUCUCAAGACCAGAACGGGUCCCCGCCAACCGAGAGCUCAGUACCCCACCAUCCAGCCUCUUGCCAGGUGGAUACACGAUACUCUCGCCAUCUCUCCACUCCCAUUGCGGGCUGGCCUUUCUGGUAUUGGUCCAGCCGAGGCUAAGCUUACCCAUGAUGAGGCAUGUGGCCAGUUAAAGGGUCCUAGAUCAGCAGGCCAACAAUCGGAACGGUCCUUAAUCGACGCAGACGGGCGACCUUUCCUGCUCAACGUCUGGUCUCAUAUUAAAAUAAUUCUGAAAACCUGGUACCUGUCAGAGGUACCCUACUGAAAUGAUGAAGUCAUCAAGGCCUUUGAUACCUUCAUCAUUCCAGCCCCUUUUUCCUUGUAAAAACAUGAUUCAUACAUCAAAAUAUUUUGUUCCUUGUCUAUAAGCAGGCUAAGCAUAUCUAGCUUUUCAAAUCAGGUAUCAAGGAUGAUAAUCAAUAAUUCAAGGAAGUUAUGCAACAAAGGUUUAACCAUUCAACUCCUAAACUACUGAACCUAUGGUCAUGAAAUUUUUACACAAGCAAGGUAAAAAGAUUAUCUACAAGUUUUAUAUAUAAUACUUCUACAGAAAACACGGUUUACUUUACUUAACUAGCCACGUAAUAAAAUUGGACAUGCAGUCCAAACAGCAAGAACUCUAACUUAGAUCUUAUUUAACUUCUACACUUAUCAUGCUUUUAACAUUUAGAACACUCAACACUUUAUCUUUAGUAGAACUAAAACCACAUAAUACAACAAGGCAUUCAUGUCACCAUACAUUAGAAAUUCACUCAACCACUAAUAAAUCUUAUCGGCAAAGCGCUAUAAGUACUAAACGUUGUUUUUACAUUAUUAACUUGAUCACUCAAUUCAUAUACAAUAACCAAAUCAUCUAUACUUGAGAAAUAUCUUUACCAAAAUACUCUAGGCAUAAUCCACCUACAAACACCAUGCAUAUCUCUAAUUAGUUUCAUAAUACAAGACAUACAUACUCAUGAAAAUAAUUUCAUUCACACAACACAAAUCAAUUUAAUAGCACAAGCCUUAUAUAUCCACACAACUAAUCAUUCAUCCGACUAACGAAAACAAUGGAUCGACUUACCAUGACUAAACUCGACUCGACUCCGCGAGAUCGACAACCAUAUCCGGUUGAGGCGAUUCACCAAGCACUUGGCAAGCGCCUCGCUAAAGCUUUCUUCUCAUCUAAAUUUCCUAGGAUUUACCUCCACCACAAACACAAACAUAUACAGUAAAUAAUCAAAUAUAGGAAUUGGUGGGGAAUAAACAGAACACAAGCAGUUGGUCUCACCUGGGCUACAGAGAUCUGGCAUGUUGCUGCUGCGCCUAGUAUUAAUCAGGGAAAGGAGAGGAGCGACCAUGGAGAAGACUGGAGCAAGGAGGGAGCUCGGCGUGGUCCGAUGGAGGUGGAAGACAGCCAGUGCGCGCCACAACAGAGAAGAUCGACGAGUAGAGAGGGCGAAAUCCAGGGAGGGGCGGCAGCCAGAGGAUGAAGGCGAGGGGAGAUAGGAAACGGGUGGCUCGACAGCGUCCAUGGCUGGGGCAGGGCGAGCUGGGGUUGGGCGACCAUGGGACUUGUGCUUGGGGAAGGAGAUGGGAGAGGGGCUAUCCAUGGCAACAAGAGAGGGGGCUGGCGUCCACACCAUGUGAAGGAGCAGGGAGGGCGCCAUGGGAGAGACGCCGAGGGAGCAGGGAUGACCGGCGAGGCUCUGUAGGAUCGCCGCCUAGGGAGGAGGCGACGUGAAGGAGCUGGCUUCCUAUGCGCAGGGGAUGAGGGAGAGAGCACGGGUGAAGAAACUAGAAGCCUCUGUCUUGCAUACACGGAUAAGAAGGAACGAUAGUGGCCAAGUGAGAAAAAAAUGUGAAUUCUCCUCUCUUAAAAACAGAAACGUAAUUGUUUUCUUAUUAGGAUUUGGAUAAGAGGAUGAGAUCGGCACCAUGAAUAGUGGCUUCGCGAAGGGGUAAGUCAGAGGGUUUAGGCGGUGGAAGGGAGAAAAGAAAUUCAGAUUUUUUGCUCUUUUCUCCAAUUCUUGUUACAAAAGACUAAACAGAUAAUUUAGUUCUCAGAUUAAGUUUGCGCGUGAUGUAAACCAGACGAAACAAAAGAUACCCGUCAAACUAGUACAGACUGCGCUUGAUCAAAUUUUAGAGCAGAUAAUUUUAUCCGUAGUCUGAGCAGGGAAACAGAUUAAUUAUGAAUACUCAGUUCGGUUCUAGUUAUCUCGGUCCGAUUUAAUUUUUGCAUCAAUAUUGUUGUCGUCGAGUUCUAAUAAUAUUUGUUUAGGACGACAAUCACCAGAGUAGGUCGGGGCUCCAAAUUCAUGUUCCCUUAAUCCAUAAUUUUAAAUAGACCUCAGACUUGAUAUUUCGCGAAAUAAAUACGCGAGAUCGAUACAACAUCGAAAUUUGUGAUCCAUUCGGAAGUGACGCCACGCAACGUUCGCGUGGGCGAGAGGUUGUGCUCUGUCCGGAUACCGGUUAGCACCUGCCACGCGCUACGAUGGCAGGCCACAGAGAGACACGUGCAACGCAAGCGUGAAAGAAUUUUAAACGAAGUUUAAAGAACCAGAUUUGAUUUCAAAGAUUGUAGUUUGGGCAAGACGUCGAGGGCUCAGCCCAAACGAUAUUGGAUUCGAUGUUCCGAAGAUUACCAAAGGCUGAAUUUUAAAAGAAAUAGAUUUGGAAAAAUUUAGACAGAUGGAGGCAGACACGAUAUCAAAAUCGUGAUAAACGAGGUUGAUUAAAAAUUAGUGACCUUUACAUUCAUAGCUAUCACGUGUUAACGUCCGCACUAAUGGUCGAGCAGACGAUAAACACCUGGGGUGUUACAGCCCUCCCCCCUUAAAAGAAUCUCGUCCCGAGAUUCGGAGCGAAAGACUUUUAAGAGUAGAGCAGCAUGUAACCCUUGUCCAUAUCAGCGAUAACAAAGGCAGUUCCAAGCAAAGGCGAGUGUCUUAGAAUGUGGUUUCUCUAGCGGACAUAGCAUGUAUCGCCUUAGGCUAAUUUAGAAUGUCCACCAAUAGAGACAAUGUCUACCAGAAGAACACAUAAGGUUCUGUGUGUGCAGUUUGCUUUUUCUGAUGACACUGUACUAUCUGAGUCUGUUGGGCGAGUGGCAAUUACACGAUUUUACCCAAAUAGAAUCAGAUGCAACCUCUUGGGUAAAUCACACAGAAAGAGGUUUACCAACAAGGGGUCACGGUAAGCCCGUAGCACAUGAGACGGGUGUGGAUGUCGAAUACUGUCGCGGUUAACAUGUGGCUAACCCGAGAAUUCAAGUCCACAAACGAUAGUAGAGACUUGAGAAAAUAUCAAUGAAAAGAUCCAUUGAUGCUGACUUCGCAACCAACCCAUUUCAUCAAAUACUUAGCACGGCUCGACAUGAUCACACAUGUUAGAAAAUCACAUGUGAUACGAUCGAGGCAUGACUAGAACGAUAAUUAGGUGAUUAUUAGUCGAUUUUAACCUGAUCUUUGUAAGAACUUUCUUAGGAUGGGUUGAACCAAAGUGAGUUUAGAUAACUCGACAAAACGAUCUCUAAACUCAACCUUUGUUCACAAUACAGUUACAAAUUAGUAAAACCAACUUGUUGAACUACCUUUGACAUUGAGCAAGUCCUCUUAUUACCCAUCGGCAAGUCAAGGGUUGAGGGUUCACAUUUGCUAGCAGGAGGUCAAAUACUUGAAUAGAGAUCCAUUCCACCAUGUUGUUCAUUUAUCUCCUUUAUGACAAACCAACAGGGUUGAAAAUGCAUGGGUCAACAAAGGAGCGAAUGAACAAACUCCUGCAUCUUAGCAACAUAGGAAAGAAAUCUCGAUUUGAGAACUAAUCAGGUGUCUCUCAACACUAAAAAGCUCCAAGACUUCACCUUUACAACAAAGGAUGCAAAGGGAACUUGUAGGUGUACAAUCACCACCAAAGCCAACAGAAAAGAUACCAUACAUGAAUGGGGUGAUUUUACCACACAACUAGAUACAGAUAGGUUUCGAUUUUCGAUGAAGACUUCUGAACUGGUAAGAACUUCACCUAAGGAAUACAUCAGAGUUAUAUACUCUUUUGAUCUAAAAGUGAUGGCAUAUGUUGUUUGAUUGUUUCAGCAAACAACACAAAAAUCGUUUCAAGGGAGGAGUCCACGGAAGAUCACACAUCAGUGUAGUUCCACAAUGGAUCAUGACCAAAGACCUCGAUACCAGAAUGCGCCAAGCAGCAUAACCUUGCGUGUACAUUCACAAGGGGAUCUCAGUUUCGCGGCGGCACCAAAAAUCAUUAAUCGUGACACCAUUACCGAACAUCACCAAUAAAGAAUCUCACAUAGCGUAAAAAGAUUGUGCCAAGAUAACACAUUGAUAUAGUCUCAUAAUGGAUUACAACUACUAACCAUGAUACCAGCGCGUGCCGAGCAGCACAACCAUGUGUGUACAUUCACAGGAGGCCCUCGGUUUCGUCGCAGCACCAUCGGUUUUAGUCAUAACACCAUUACCAGCUGUAACCAAUAAGAAAUCUCAUGCAGUACAAAUGGAUUGAGCAAGGGUGACAAUAUACAAUGAGACUCCACCUGUAAGAAUAAUUACAAGUAGAGCCAAAUAGAUCAUGGCCCGAUGAAAUGAACAAGACAUGGCCAUAACCUAAACUUGAUGAAAGGAGUACGACGGGAGACUGUUAUUUCAGCCCCAAGCAUAUUUCUAUGCCCAUCGCAGAGAUUACAAGGUUAAGGAUUAGUAUCUGAUUAGAUACGGAGGGAAAACAAUCAUAAGAUUAAGUUGGUAUGCCUUUGAAAGAUAUGAGAAAACCAAAGGCAUUAAAUUCAAGAAAACUAUUGGGCAUUCCUUUCCUAGGUUAGAUUGAAAAAGCAACAAUGUGAUUCUCAUGGAGAGGCAAAGCAGAAUAGAACCAUCAGCUUGCACCAACCGAAACAAGGCGAAGCUUAGGAAGAAAACAUGACCACUGUGAGUCAUGGAUUAAGCGACAAGAACACGGACUUGAGAUCUUUGUCUUAAGAUUGAGUGCACCUUUUGUCCAACAGGGAGACUACUGGCCAAAUUAAAGAAACCUACAAUCUAUACAGGUACAUACCUCUAAUCGUCCAACACACGAAGACGAGAAAUUCCAUACACCCGCACAUGACUUUUAAUUUGAACUUAGUGUCUUUCCAUAAGAAAAAAGAAAACAAACAACAACUCAUGUAGUUUAAUGGCCAAAGGAUUAGACAAUCACCAUACCUUCUACUCAACCAAGCGAGAGAAACACAUAUACUACCUAACGAGGUGUCUAAAGGAUAGAGGACAAGGAACUCGUUGAAGUUCAUAGGAUAGCGAUACUUCACAUAGUUUCCAAUUAUUUAUUAUCGGAAUAAAGAUGAGAAAAGCAUGUUCGUUCACAAUCACUAAUUAUUAGAAUAAAGAUGAGAGAAGCAUAUUUGUGCACAAACGACAAACACAAUGCAAAAAUCAGGAUGCAUGCUCGUCCUAUUCGUCCACACUGAUUUUGCCAACAUAAUGUGGCAAUAGCGUUCUAUAUCGGUGGCAUACCUACGUUCUCUCUCGAUAUAUUGCUAGUCGUCAGCUACACAUACGAGUUCGAAGUUAGUGUACCUGCAGAAAAUUUCAUCACAGCCCAGUUCCCAAUGAUGCAAUUCACACAUGACAGUUUAUCACAGUUUAUACUCCAUAUAUUUCUAUAUGGAGGCCAGCUCCUCAUUAAGCGCCGAGCCACGCAUAGGCGUCGCUGCCACACUUUAACCAUAGGGCAGCUCAUUAUGGUAACUCACCUUCUUACCUGAGCGUAGGUGCGUCGUUGCAAAUACAUUACACUUCUCAGUAUUCCCAUGUCUGUAUACCCAUAGACAUCCAUGGGGUACUGAAUCCCGGAAAAGUAAUUACUCCACAUCGCAGCCUUCAUAUAUACAUAUGUGUAACAUGUAUAUAAUCAAGCGCCACAAUUAAGCACUCCCCUAGACCGGCAUUUGUUCGGUCAUGCUCUCACAACUCACGUUACCUGAGCGUCGAUCCAUUCAAAACUGAAUGGCCUCAAGAAUAACAAUACACAUGUAUGCAAUACCCUUCCCUGGUUGUGGGUUAGUAUUCUCAACUAAGCCACCUAGUAGUCCUUAACUUAGGGCUUAACAGAGGAUGUCGCUAGCAUUAUAGUUUUUUUAAAUCUGUUUUUCAAAAUCAAACAAUGUGUUUAGUUGAAAAUAGGUUUUUGAAACCAAAACUUUGUUUUAAAAAUACGUAUGUGACCGUAUUAUACUUAAUACAGCUCCGAUACCAGCUGUCGCAGAACCUCCCAAGUUAUCGGGCCCACAUGCACUUGUCCUUGUCUCAACGACCUCAGACGGGUAUGCAUGUGCACCAAACAACUUAACAGGAUCUGUCCGAGUGCCCCAAGGACCCCGGAUAAACGACUUACCGCCAAGAUCGCAGGAUUAAGUAAACACAAAUCACACACCAACAUUUGCAGCGGAAAUAAAUUCUUUAUUGCAAAAUGAUUACAUGUUACAAUAAGUUUACAUUAUACAAUUAUCGGAGUGAUUACAAAAGAAAGUGAUUCAAAAGAAUUACAAUUUAAAAUGUAUAAAAUAUUUAUAGGUUUUAAAAUACAUGCUAGCUUAAGUGACAAUCCUCAAUAAAGAAGCUAAAGAUGGGAUAUACUUAUAUAAGAAGGCCGAACCCACCGGCACUUAGCACCAUCCACAACAGAACAAAAUUACAACCUGAAAAACAACAGGGAAUAAAACCCUG